Molecule: ribosomal RNA, 775 nt
Filed under: uncultured Neocallimastigales
Lineage: Eukaryota; Fungi; Neocallimastigomycota; Neocallimastigomycetes; Neocallimastigales
Description: partial large subunit ribosomal RNA
Rfam family: Eukaryotic large subunit ribosomal RNA
Source: RNAcentral
ACACUGACGUCGCGACGCAUAUCAAUAAGCGGAGGAAAAGAAACUAACUAGGAUUCCCUCAGUAACGGCGAGUGAAGCGGGAAGAGCUCAAAUUUGAAAUCUUCAAGGUUCUACCUUGACGAAUUGUAGUUUAAAGAAGUGUUUUCUGUAGUGGAGUUUGGUAAAAGUUCUUUGGAAUAGGACAUCAUAGAGGGUGAGAAUCCCGUAUUUGGUCAUUCCUUCUAGCUUUGUGAUACACUUUCAAAGAGUCGGAUUGUUUGGGAAUGCAGUCCAAAAUGGGUGGUAAAUUUCAUCUAAAGCUAAAUAUUGGCGAGAGACCGAUAGCGAACAAGUACCGUGAGGGAAAGAUGAAAAGAACUUUGAAAAGAGAGUUAAACAGUACGUGAAAUUGUCAAAAGGGAAGCGUUUGACACCAGUGUUGUUUUUCCGAAAAUCAAUUAUAAAUGUUUUGUUUCUGAGGAGUGAUGACUUCAUCGGCUUCCUUCUCUCUUCACGAAACUUUUGUAAUGCACUUUUCGGUUAACAAGUCAACAUCAAUUUCUUUUGUUGUAAAAGAGUAUUCGGAAGGUGGCUUUCUUUUCGGAGAAAGUGUUUAUAGCCCUAUACUUCUACAAUCGGAGAGAUUGAGGUCUGCAGCGUAGAUCCUUCGGGGUUAGAUACACUUGUGCUAAGUUAUAGCUUUUCAUAGACAACUUGUUGACUAUGUUUAGUCAUGUCGCUUACUCGCUUGUGCUAUUUUACCUACGCUUAGGAUGUUGAGUCGUAGAGCACGCAG